GCCAAUGUGGUGUAGUGGUUUGAACACUGGACUAGGACUCUGGAGACUAGGGUUUGAAUUCCUACUAAGCUA
This is a non-coding RNA of Phrynosoma platyrhinos (Desert horned lizard), 72 nucleotides long. The record is from the annotation of a GenBank genome assembly. NCBI's taxonomy places the organism in Eukaryota, Metazoa, Chordata, Lepidosauria, Squamata, Phrynosomatidae.